UUCGGGAAGCUGUAGGGGGACGCAGGAAGGUAGAUGAACCCGGUGAAUGGUAGAACCGGGGUAAGCGUGUAGGAGGAGGACCAGGUAAAUCCGGGCCUCAUAAACUCUGAGACGUGAUACCGAGCCGCUUCAGGCGAAGUCAUUGAUCCUAUGCUGCCUAGAAAAGCCCAGCAGCGAGUUGACAUGGUGCCCGUACCCCAAACCAACACAGGUGGACAGGUAGAGCAUACCAAGGCGAGUGGGAUAACUAUGGUUAAGGAACUCGGCAAAUUGCCUCCGUAACUUCGGGAGAAGGAGGACCCCAGUAGCGUGAUGAGACUUGCUCUCUGAGCGUGAAGGGGUGGCACAAAAUUGAGGGAAGCGACUGUUUACCAAAAACACAGCAGCGUGCUAAGCCGUAAGGCGCUGUAUACGCUGUGACUCCUGCCCGGUGCUGGAAGGUUACGGGGAUGGGUUAGUCCUUCGGGACGAAGCUCUGAACCUAAGCCCCAGUAAACGGCGGCCGUAACUAUAACGGUCCUGAGGUAGCGAAAUUCCUUGUCGGGUAAGUUCCGACCUGCACGAAUGGAGUAAUGACUUCCCUACUGUCUCAACCAUAGACCCAGCGAAAUUGAAGUACGAGUAAAGAUGCUCGUUAGCUGCAGAAGGACGGAAAGACCCCGUGGACCUUUACUAUAACUUGAUGUUGUGUUUUGUCAUAUGUUGUGUAGGAUAGGUGGGAGACUUGGAAGCAUGGACGCUAGUCUGUGUGGAGUCAUCGUUGAAAUACCACCCUGCAUAUGGUGAGGCUCUAACCUAGACCCGUUAUCCGGGUUGGGGACAGCGUCAGGCGGGUAGUUUAACUGGGGCGGUUGCCUCCUAAAGAGUAACGGAGGCGCCCAAAGGUUCCCUCAGCCUGGUUGGCAAUCAGGCGUUGAGUGCAAUGGCAAAAGGGAGCUUGACUGCGAGACCUACAAGUCGAGCAGGAGCGAAAGCUGGGCAUAGUGAUCCGGCGGUUGCGUGUGGAAGCGCCGUCGCUCAACGGAUAAAAGGUACCCCGGGGAUAACAGGCUAAUCUUGCCCAAGCGUCCAUAGCGACGGCAAGGUUUGGCACCUCGAUGUCGGCUCAUCGCAUCCUGGGGCUGAAGCAGGUCCCAAGGGUUGGGCUGUUCGCCCAUUAAAGCGGUACGCGAGCUGGGUUCAGAACGUCGUGAGACAGUUCGGUCCCUAUCCUCUGCAGCCGGAGGUGAAUUGAGGAAAGCUGUCCCUAGUACGAGAGGACCGGGACGGACGCAGCUCUCGUGUGCCAGUUGUCCUGCCAAGGGCAUGGCUGGUUAGCGACCUGCGGAAAGGAUAACCGCUGAAAGCAUCUAAGCGGGAAGCCUCUUCCAAGAUGAAUUCACCCACGGGGUUAACCUGGUAAGGCCCGUGGUAGACCACCACGUUGAUAGGCCGGAAGUGUAAGCGUGGCAACACGUUCAGCUGACCGGUACUAAUCGG
This 1479-nucleotide ribosomal RNA is filed under the name metagenome. RNAcentral describes it as "bacterial LSU rRNA". It matches the Rfam family "Bacterial large subunit ribosomal RNA", at positions 1453 to 2908 of the family's 2925-position model. The record is from RNAcentral.